AACGCACAUUGCGCCCGCCAGUAUUCUGGCGGGCAUGCCUGUUCGAGCGUCAUUUCAACCCUCAGGUCCCCCUUUUCGGAGGGGGAGACACCCUGGUGUUGGGGGACGGCAUCCCGGCCCGCUGUCUCAGUGUGCCACGCCGCCCCCGAAAUGAAUUGGCGGCCUCGUCGCGUGCCACCCCUGCGUAGUAGCACAACCUCGCAACGGGAGCCCGACGCGGCCACUGCCGUAAAACGCCCAACUUUUACAGAGUUGACCUCGAAUCAGGUAGGAAUACCCGCUGAACUUAA
RNAcentral lists this unclassified non-coding RNA (290 nucleotides) under uncultured fungus. Its description in RNAcentral is "partial contains 5.8S ribosomal RNA, internal transcribed spacer 2, and large subunit ribosomal RNA". The stretch from base 1 to 52 matches the Rfam family "5.8S ribosomal RNA", at positions 103 to 154 of the family's 154-position model. Lineage: Eukaryota; Fungi. The record is from RNAcentral.